AGUGAACGCUGGCGGUAGGCCUAACACAUGCAAGUCGAACGGCAGCACAGUAAGAGCUUGCUCUUACGGGUGGCGAGUGGCGGACGGGUGAGGAAUACAUCGGAAUCUACUUUUUCGUGGGGGAUAACGUAGGGAAACUUACGCUAAUACCGCAUACGACCUACGGGUGAAAGCAGGGGAUCUUCGGACCUUGCGCGAUUGAAUGAGCCGAUGUCGGAUUAGCUAGUUGGCGGGGUAAAGGCCCACCAAGGCGACGAUCCGUAGCUGGUCUGAGAGGAUGAUCAGCCACACUGGAACUGAGACACGAUCCAGACUCCUACGGGAGGCAGCAGUGGGGAAUAUUGGACAAUGGGCGAAAGCCUGAUCCAGCCAUACCGCGUGGGUGAAGAAGGCCUUCGGGUUGUAAAGCCCUUUUGUUGGGAAAGAAAAGCAGCAGGUUAAUACCCCGCUGUUCUGACGGUACCCAAAGAAUAAGCACCGGCUAACUUCGUG
Molecule: ribosomal RNA, 492 nt
Filed under: uncultured bacterium
Lineage: Bacteria
Description: partial 16S ribosomal RNA
Rfam family: Bacterial small subunit ribosomal RNA
Source: RNAcentral